RNAcentral lists this transfer RNA (74 nucleotides) under Longimicrobiales bacterium. RNAcentral describes it as "tRNA-Ile". It matches the Rfam family "tRNA". Rfam says of the family: Transfer RNA (tRNA) molecules are approximately 80 nucleotides in length. Their secondary structure includes four short double-helical elements and three loops (D, anti-codon, and T loops). RNAcentral also lists the same sequence under 1 other name. The record is from RNAcentral. Lineage: Bacteria; Pseudomonadati; Gemmatimonadota; Longimicrobiia; Longimicrobiales.
GGGCCCGUAGCUCAGCUGGUCAGAGCAUGCGACUCAUAAUCGCCAGGUCCCGGGUUCGAGCCCCGGCGGGCCCA